CGAAAAGAAAAUCCGGGAAAUGUGCGUUCUGAGGCCCGGGCAGCGCAGCGUAGCAACCUACUGGCGAGGUGGAGGCGGGAGGACUCGCGCCACACCACACCUCGUAGGCUUCCUCGCCGGCUUUUCUCUACCUCGUGAAGGUCAGAUAGGUGGAGCAAGGAGUCCGAUGGGAGUCCUGCUCCAUGUGCAUACGUCAGGGAGUAGACAAAGGGCGCAACAAGCAGGAGGCAGCAGUAUUUGUAUACAGAACCUGUCAACUUUUGAGCGAGCCACUAUUACACAACCACAUCUUCCCGGGAACAUCAUGACGUCACUCCCAGCCGACCGGCGCGACGUAACACGCUGUGACGUUUACUAGCUCCGCCUCUAUACUGCAACUGAUGCCACUGGUUGGUCGGUGAGAGGGGGGCGGAGCUUCUUGGAGUUGAGGAUAGUACUAUACAAACGAAUACCCAGUGCAAUCAGUUCCUCGCCUGAACUUCUAGGUGAUACAGCUUUAGUGCCGUGUUCCCUCGCACUCACAGACAUAAUAUCACUUUUGGAACAUUGUCGCCACCAACUGAGCUUUUUAUUGAGGCUCUGUCUUCAUAAUAUUUUCUUUAGUGGAUGUUCUUCAACACCACAUUAUGGUUGCUGAGACUGUAAAGUCCUACCCGGUGAACUACCCGGCACUCAUCCCGCUCACGCCCUCAGUGCCCGGCCUGGGAAGCUACAACCCCUGUUCUCCCUCUCUCCUCCAUCCCA
RNAcentral lists this unclassified non-coding RNA (744 nucleotides) under Homarus americanus (American lobster). RNAcentral's name for it is "putative mediator of RNA polymerase II transcription subunit 26, transcript variant X1". Lineage: Eukaryota; Metazoa; Arthropoda; Malacostraca; Decapoda; Nephropidae. The record is from RNAcentral.